RNAcentral lists this ribosomal RNA (433 nucleotides) under uncultured bacterium. Its description in RNAcentral is "partial 16S ribosomal RNA". It matches the Rfam family "Bacterial small subunit ribosomal RNA", at positions 29 to 507 of the family's 1533-position model. The record is from RNAcentral.
AACGAACGCUGGCGGCAUGCCUAACACAUGCAAGUCGAACGAGACCUUCGGGUCUAGUGGCGCACGGGUGCGUAACGCGUUGGAACCUGCCCUUAGGUUCGGAAUAACUCCCCGAAAGGGGUGCUAAUACCGGAUAAUGUCUUCGGACCAAAGAUUUAUCGCCUUUGGAUGGGCCCGCGUUGGAUUAGCUAGUUGGUAGGGUAAAAGCCUACCAAGGCGACGAUCCAUAGCUGGUCUGAGAGGAUGAUCAGCCACACUGGGACUGAGACACGGACCAGACUCGUACGGGAGGCAGCAGUGGGGAAUAUUGGACAAUGGGCGAAAGCCUGAUCCAGCAAUGCCGCGUGAGUGAUGAAGGCCUUAGGGUUGUAAAGCUAUUUUACCCGGGAUGAUAAUGACAGUACCGGGAGAAUAAGCUCCGGCUAACUCCGUG